GGGAAACAUUCGGCUGGGGCCGUUUGGGCUUUGCUUGACUUCGGACCCUGCAAAUCGACCCGACUCCACUGAGCCACCUUGUCAGGUCCACCCUGGCACUUCCUGCUGUAAAGCCAAGGUGAAAGCUUCCGUUUGAGGAAAUGAGACUUCUCUUUACUAACUGGAGUUUAGGGGGAGUCAUGCAUGCGUCUGGGAGUGCAAGCACCCCAGGAAGUUGUGAUUUUCUUGCACGGGACGUGCAGGCUGGCGUGCUGGAGUGGAGCCUGGUGAGUGAGCGCAGAGCCAAGCCGUGUGCUGCUCCCCCCAGGCAGUCCACUUGGCAUGCCUUCUGGCCCUGGGCUGGACACAGGGGCUGGGGUCCCACCCACUGUGACAGCUUGGAGUACCAGAGGCUUGGGCCGCCACAAAGGCAUUUGAGCUCAUUAAUGCAGUAGACGUGCUCCCUUUCUGAGAUGUCCUCGGGGCAGGGGCCCGGAGGGUGGCCAUUCUGGUGUCCUGAGAGGUGUGAGAUGCAUUGAUGAGGCACUCAGGGUAGAUGGGAGGCCCUGGGUCCCAUCUGCAGCUCUGUUGUCCCUGCGUGUUCACAGGCAUGCGUGUCCAUCCACUAACUGUAACCUGCACGCUUCGUGACCCAGACAUCCUUGUGAAAUGCGUGUUUCUUCAAACUUAGGAACAGCACCAUUAAUUUGGAAUGACAGUGCCAACUCCCAGGAACUGAGGAUUUACUCUGUUAUUUUGGUUUUAGUUCUUCAUGUGAGAUGGUAAAACUUGAAGAGAAAUUCCAUGGAAGAUUGUAUUAAUAUCAUUAAUUGCUAGAUUAUCAGUAGCAGGAAAUGUAUCACUAGACUGUGAUAGACACACACACACAUAAAUAUAUACCUACUACUUUAUGGUAGAAAGACAAACAGCCUAGUUCCAUGACUUUCCAAUUUUUGGAGUGUUUGCAGUUUGUUGACUUUGUUGCUAGUAAAUCUAAUGUGGUCUUUUUCAACAAUGGACCUUCGGCGUUCGCUAUUUCUAUGCUGGUUUGAUGAAUUAGUUGAUAAGUCGGAUAUUGUAUUCUCAAGAUCAAAAUUGUAUUUCUAUGUCAGCAUGUCAGUGAACAUGCAUUUAGAGUGUGAUGGAGAAAAUAAAU
Molecule: long non-coding RNA, 1135 nt
Filed under: Homo sapiens (human)
Lineage: Eukaryota; Metazoa; Chordata; Mammalia; Primates; Hominidae
Description: HSALNT0170281
Source: RNAcentral